Molecule: ribosomal RNA, 326 nt
Filed under: bacterium ocnta307lb507onp10.8
Lineage: Bacteria
Description: bacterial SSU rRNA
Rfam family: Bacterial small subunit ribosomal RNA
Source: RNAcentral
ACACAUGCAGUCGACGAACCCUUCGGGUUAGUGGCGCACGGGUGCNGUAACGCGUGGGANCCUGCCUUUAGGUUCGGAAUAACAGUUAGAAAUGACUGCUAAUACCGGAUAAUGUCUUCGGACCAAAGAUUUAUUGCCUUUAGAUGGGCCCGCGUUGGAUUAGAUAGUUGGUGGGGUAAUGGCCUACCAAGUCGACGAUCCAUAGCUGGUCUGAGAGGAUGAUCAGCCACACUGGGACUGAGACACGNCCAGACUCCUACGGGAGGAGCAGUGGGGAAUAUUGGACAAUGGGCGAAGCCUGAUCAGCAUGCCGCGUGAGUGAUGAG